AGAUUGUUGGUGAGGUAAUGGCUCACCAAGUCGACGAUCAUUAGCUGGUCUGAGAGGAUGACCAGCCAGACUGGAACUGAGAACGGUCCAGACUCCUACGGGAGGCAGCAGUAGGGAACUUUCCACAAUGGACGAAAGUCUGAUGGAGCAACGCCGCGUGCAGGAUGAAGGCUCUAGGGUCGUAAACUGCUUUUAUCUGUGACGAAUAUGACGGUAGCAGAUGAAUAAGGAUCGGCUAACUACGUGCCAGCAGCCGCGGUCAUACGUAGGAUCCAAGCGUUAUCCGGAAUUACUGGGUGUAAAGAGUUGCGUAGGUGGCAGAGUAAGUAGGUAGUGAAAGCGUUCGGCUCAACCGAAUAAACAUUAUCUAAACUGCUCAGCUAGAGGAUGAGAGAGGUUAUUGGAAUUCCCAGUGUAGGAGUGAAAUCCGUAGAUAUUGGGAAGAACACCGAUGGCGUAGGCAGAUAACUGGCUCAUUCCUGACACUAAGGCACGAAAGCGUGGGGAGCAAACGGGAUUAGAUACCCCGGUAGUCCACGCUGUAAACUAUGGAUGCUAGCUGUAAGAGGUAUCGACCCCUCUUGUAGCGAAGCUAACGCGUUAAGCAUCCCACCUGUGGAGUACGGUCGCAAGACUAAAACAUAAAGGAAUUGACGGGGACCCGCACAAGCGGUGGAGCGUGUUGUUUAAUUCGAUGGUAAACGAAGAACCUUACCCAGGUUUGACAUCCUGCGAAUUUUGCCGAAAGGCGAGAGUGCUUUAUUGAGCGCAGUGACAGGUGUUGCAUGGCCGUCGUCAGCUCGUGUCGUGAGAUGUUUGGUUAAGUCCAUCAACGAGCGCAACCCUUAUAGUCUGUUGUAUUUCUCAGGCUAGACUGCCCUGGUAACAGGGAGGAAGGGGGGGAUGAUGUCAGGUCAGUAUUACCCUUACAUCUGGGGCUACAAACACGCUACAAUGGCCGGUACAAAGGGCUGCCAAGUCGCAAGACGGAGCAAAUCCCAUCAAAGCCGGUCCCAGUUCAGAUUGCAGGCUGAAACUCGCCUGCAUGAAGUCGGAAUCGCUAGUAACGGUAGGUCAGCUAUACUACCGUGAAUACGUUCCCGGGUCUUGUACACACCGCCCGUCAAACCAUGAAAGUCGCCAAUACCUGACGUGUUGCCUUCGCGCAGCCCUAAGGUAGGGGAGAUGAUUGGGGUUAAGUCGUAACAAGGUAUCCGUACGGGAA
This 1225-nucleotide ribosomal RNA is filed under the name metagenome. RNAcentral describes it as "bacterial SSU rRNA". It matches the Rfam family "Bacterial small subunit ribosomal RNA", at positions 243 to 1510 of the family's 1533-position model. The record is from RNAcentral.